This 180-nucleotide ribosomal RNA is filed under the name uncultured Glomeromycotina. Its description in RNAcentral is "partial small subunit ribosomal RNA". The stretch from base 91 to 180 matches the Rfam family "Eukaryotic small subunit ribosomal RNA", at positions 738 to 830 of the family's 1831-position model. The record is from RNAcentral. Lineage: Eukaryota; Fungi; Glomeromycota.
GGAUCAGUACGUUGGUCGUGCCUUGGUACGUACUGAUGUAACUGAUUCCUCCCUUCUGACGAACCGUCAUGCCAUUCACUUGGUGUGGCGGGAAAUCAGGACUGUUACUUUGAAAAAAUUAGAGUGUUUAAAGCAGGCCUACGCUUGAAUACAUUAGCAUGGAAUAAUAGAAUAGGACUU